AUUGAACGCUGGCGGCAGGCUUAACACAUGCAAGUCGAGCGGAAACGAUGAUAGCUUGCUAUCAGGCGUCGAGCGGCGGACGGGUGAGUAAUACUUAGGAAUCUACCUAGUAGUGGGGGAUAGCUCGGGGAAACUCGAAUUAAUACCGCAUACGUCCUACGGGAGAAAGCAGGGGAUCAUUAGACCUUGCGCUAUUAGAUGAGCCUAAGUCGGAUUAGCUAGAUGGUGGGGUAAAGGCCUACCAUGGCGACGAUCUGUAGCUGGUCUGAGAGGAUGAUCAGCCACACCGGGACUGAGACACGGCCCGGACUCCUACGGGAGGCAGCAGUGGGGAAUAUUGGACAAUGGGGGCAACCCUGAUCCAGCCAUGCCGCGUGUGUGAAGAAGGCCUUUUGGUUGUAAAGCACUUUAAGCAGUGAAGAAGACUCUUCGGUUAAUACCCGGGGGCGAUGACAUUAGCUGCAGAAUAAGCACCGGCUAACUCUGUGCCAGCCGCCGCCGUAACAC
This 507-nucleotide ribosomal RNA is filed under the name uncultured bacterium. RNAcentral describes it as "bacterial SSU rRNA". It matches the Rfam family "Bacterial small subunit ribosomal RNA", at positions 30 to 526 of the family's 1533-position model. The record is from RNAcentral.